Molecule: non-coding RNA, 30 nt
Filed under: Rattus norvegicus (Norway rat)
Lineage: Eukaryota; Metazoa; Chordata; Mammalia; Rodentia; Muridae
Source: RNAcentral
UACCAAGUAGCUGGUGAGCUUUUGCCGGGU